This 231-nucleotide unclassified non-coding RNA is filed under the name Rimacactus laui. RNAcentral's name for it is "Eriosyce laui partial contains tRNA-Leu and trnL-trnF intergenic spacer". Lineage: Eukaryota; Viridiplantae; Streptophyta; Magnoliopsida; Caryophyllales; Cactaceae. The record is from RNAcentral.
UCUAUCCCCAAAAGCUUAUUUCACUCCCUAACUAGUUAGCCUUUUUUAUUAACAGUUUGAAGGUGGUUAUGUUCCUUAUCAUUACACGUACUAAAACUUAAAUAAACUUAGAGACAAAGUCCUUUUUAUUGACAUAGACCCGAGUUCUCCAUUAAAGUAGAUGAUGCGCCAGAAGGGGGAAUGGUCGGGAUAGCUCAGCUGGCAGAGCAGAGGACUGAAAAUCCUCGUGUC